RNAcentral lists this ribosomal RNA (483 nucleotides) under Siccibacter sp. RNAcentral's name for it is "bacterial SSU rRNA". It matches the Rfam family "Bacterial small subunit ribosomal RNA", at positions 107 to 586 of the family's 1533-position model. Lineage: Bacteria; Pseudomonadati; Pseudomonadota; Gammaproteobacteria; Enterobacterales; Enterobacteriaceae. The record is from RNAcentral.
UGAUUAAUGUCUGGGGAUCUGCCUGAUGGAGGGGGAUAACUACUGGAAACGGUAGCUAAUACCGCAUAACGUCGCAAGACCAAAGAGGGGGACCUUCGGGCCUCUUGCCAUCAGAUGAACCCAGAUGGGAUUAGCUAGUAGGUGGGGUAACGGCUCACCUAGGCGACGAUCCCUAGCUGGUCUGAGAGGAUGACCAGCCACACUGGAACUGAGACACGGUCCAGACUCCUACGGGAGGCAGCAGUGGGGAAUAUUGCACAAUGGGCGCAAGCCUGAUGCAGCCAUGCCGCGUGUAUGAAGAAGGCCUUCGGGUUGUAAAGUACUUUCAGCGAGGAGGAAGGCGGUAAGGUUAAUAACCUUAUCGAUUGACGUUACUCGCAUAAGAAGCACCGGCUAACUCCGUGCCAGCAGCCGCGGUAAUACGGAGGGUGCAAGCGUUAAUCGGAAUUACUGGGCGUAAAGCGCACGCAGGCGGUCUGUCAA